This 774-nucleotide ribosomal RNA is filed under the name uncultured Streptococcus sp. Its description in RNAcentral is "bacterial SSU rRNA". It matches the Rfam family "Bacterial small subunit ribosomal RNA", at positions 28 to 776 of the family's 1533-position model. Lineage: Bacteria; Bacillati; Bacillota; Bacilli; Lactobacillales; Streptococcaceae. The record is from RNAcentral.
GAUGAACGCUGGCGGCGUGCUUAACACAUGCAAGUCGAACGAACGACUAUUAACAGAACCUUUCGGGGCGAAGAAUAUAGAAGUUAGUGGCGGACGGGUGCGUAACGCGUGGGUAAUCUGCCUUUGUCAAAGGAAUAACUAUUCGAAAGAAUAGCUAAAACCGUAUAACAUAUUAAUAGGGCAUCCUAGUAAUAUCAAAACGAUAGUGGACAAAGAUGAGCCCGCGUCUGAUUAGCUAGUUGGUGAGAUAAAAGCCCACCAAGGCAACGAUCAGUAGCCGACCUGAGAGGGUGAACGGCCACAUUGGAACUGAGACACGGUCCAAACUCCUACGGGAGGCAGCAGUGGGGAAUAUUGCACAAUGGGGGGAACCCUGAUGCAGCAACGCCGCGUGAGUGAAGAAGGCCUUAGGGUUGUAAAGUUCUUUCGGUAUUGAGGAAGGUUGAUGUGUUAAUAGCACAUCAAAUUGACGUUAAAUACAGAAGAAGCACCGGCUAACUCCGUGCCAGCAGCCGCGGUAAUACGGAGGGUGCGAGCGUUAAUCGGAAUUAUUGGGCAUAAAGGGCAUCUAGGCGGCCUUUCAAGUCAGGGGUGAAAACCUGCGGCUCAACCGCAGGCUUGCCUUUGAAACUGAUAGGCUGGAGUACCGGAGAGGUGGACGGAACUGCACGAGUAGAGGUGAAAUUCGUAGAUAUGUGCAGGAAUGCCGAUGAUGAAGAUAGUUCACUGGACGGUAACUGACGCUGAAGUGCGAAAGCCGGGGGAGCAAACAGG